Triticum aestivum (bread wheat) is the source of this 286-nucleotide long non-coding RNA. RefSeq lists it as uncharacterized. The record is from RefSeq and is a predicted model, not a curated record. The transcript is spliced from 4 exons. NCBI's taxonomy places the organism in Eukaryota, Viridiplantae, Streptophyta, Magnoliopsida, Poales, Poaceae.
UGAUACCUGCGUGGAAGACAUCCCUGAUGAUGCUACAGAGGAUGUAGCUUGGCGGUUGAUUACAUCGGCGGUUUGGAAUAAGCUUCAUAAACCCAAGAUGUGGCACCAAUAUAUUAUGAGGAAGAUGGAGAUUGCUAAACACAUUGGCUUGGGUCCACAAAAUUGACAUGUCUCGGAACCCAAGACACUGACAGAUGUAGACAACUGUUCCUUGUGAAAUCUUGUCCGUUGCUCGCUCACUUGCAAAUUAAUGAUGUAUCCGUUGUAUUGCAUAUAUUGAUGUUAG